CGCAUCUGUGCAUGCAGCAUAUCAAUAAGCGGAGGAAAAGAAAGCGAACAAGGAUUCCCCUAGUAACGGCGAGUGAAGCGGGAAGAGCUCAAAUUUGAAAUCUUAAAGGGUUUCCCUUUACGAAUUGUAGUUUAAAGAAGUGUUUUCUGUUGAGGUUUUGGUAAAAGUUCUUUGGAAUAGGACAUCAUAGAGGGUGAGAAUCCCGUAUUUGACCUUUACUUUCAACUUUGUGAUACACUUUCAAAGAGUCGGAUUGUUUGGGAAUGCAGUCCAAAAUGGGUGGUAAAUUUCAUCUAAAGCUAAAUAUUGGCGAGAGACCGAUAGCGAACAAGUACCGUGAGGGAAAGAUGAAAAGAACUUUGAAAAGAGAGUUAAACAGUACGUGAAAUUGUCAAAAGGGAAGCGUUUGACACCAGUGUUGUUUUUCUGAAAAUCAAUUAAAGAACUGUUUAUGCUAAGCUGUUUAGACUUUAUCAGCUAUCUGUUUAGUUUUGAGCUUUUCUUUAAUGCACUUUUCAGUUAACAAGUCAACAUCAAUUUCUUUUGCUGUAAAAAAGCUUGAGGAAGGUGGCUUGAGAUUCGUCUUAAGUGUUUAUAGCCUCUUGCCUAUGCAGUCGGAGAGAUUGAGGUCUGCAGCGUAGAUCCUUCGGGGCUAAAUGCAUUUGUGCUAAGUUAUAGCAUUUUAUAGACAACUUGUUGACUAUGAUUUGUCUUGUAGCUUACUCGCUUAUGUUAUUUUACCUACGCUUAGGAUGUUGAAUCUGUGCGAGACUAC
Molecule: ribosomal RNA, 775 nt
Filed under: uncultured Neocallimastigales
Lineage: Eukaryota; Fungi; Neocallimastigomycota; Neocallimastigomycetes; Neocallimastigales
Description: partial large subunit ribosomal RNA
Rfam family: Eukaryotic large subunit ribosomal RNA
Source: RNAcentral